RNAcentral lists this ribosomal RNA (138 nucleotides) under uncultured bacterium. RNAcentral's name for it is "partial 16S ribosomal RNA". It matches the Rfam family "Bacterial small subunit ribosomal RNA", at positions 355 to 509 of the family's 1533-position model. The record is from RNAcentral.
UGAGGGAUAUUGGUCAAUGGGGGAAAACCCUGAACCAGCAACGCCGCGUGAGGGAAGACGGUCUUCGGAUUGUAAACCUUUGUCCUCUGUGAAGAUAAUGACGGUAGCAGAGGAGGAAGCUCCGGCUAACUACGUGCC